RNAcentral lists this ribosomal RNA (467 nucleotides) under uncultured bacterium. RNAcentral describes it as "partial 16S ribosomal RNA". It matches the Rfam family "Bacterial small subunit ribosomal RNA", at positions 28 to 507 of the family's 1533-position model. The record is from RNAcentral.
GAUGAACGCUGACAGAAUGCUUAACACAUGCAAGUCAACUUGAAUUUGGGUUUUUAACUUAGGUUUGGGUGGCGGACGGGUGAGUAACGCGUAAAGAACUUGCCUCACAGCUAGGGACAACAUUUGGAAACGAAUGCUAAUACCUAAUAUUAUGAUAAUAGGGCAUCCUAUAAUUAUGAAAGCUAUAAGCGCUGUGAGAGAGCUUUGCGUCCCAUUAGCUAGUUGGAGAGGUAACGGCUCACCAAGGCGAUGAUGGGUAGCCGGCCUGAGAGGAUGAUCGGCCACAAGGGGACUGAGACACGGCCCUUACUCCUACGGGAGGCAGCAGUGGGGAAUAUUGGACAAUGGACCGAGAGUCUGAUCCAGCAAUUCUGUGUGCACGAUGAAGUUUUUCGGAAUGUAAAGUGCUUUCAGUUGGGAAGAAACAAAUGACGGUACCAACAGAAGAAGUGACGGCUAAAUACGUG